UCAUAUCCUAUCACUUAUAUCAUAAUUCCCAAUGAGCAUAACCAAAGCUCUGAUACCAUUCUGUCAUACUCUACUCAUAAUCUUAAGCUCUGAUACCAUUCUGUCACGCUCUGAACCCAAUAGCUGGUUCGGAUACAUGAUUGCCACACACUCCUUAGAGCAAGUCCUAAAGAAUAUGCAAGGCCAAAAAUAAUUUCUUACAACCUCAACAUCCAUAAUAAUUCAUUUCAACAAU
Molecule: long non-coding RNA, 235 nt
Filed under: Elaeis guineensis (African oil palm)
Lineage: Eukaryota; Viridiplantae; Streptophyta; Magnoliopsida; Arecales; Arecaceae
Description: long non-coding RNA (EGUI_LNC007297)
Source: RNAcentral